CCCUAUGGGGUGCAGCAGGCGCGAAACCUUUACACUGUACGAAAGUGCGAUAAGGGGACUCUAAGUGCUCAUGCAUUGCAUGGGCUUUUGCCAAGAGUAAAGUCCUUGGCGAAUAAGUGGUGGGUAAGACUGGUGCCAGCCGCCGCGGUAACACCAGCGCCACGAGUGGCAACCGCGAUUAUUGGGCCUAAAGCGUUCGUAGCCGGUCACGUAAAUCUCUUGUGAAAUUGUCCAGCUUAACUGAACAGCGUGCAGGAGACACUGCGUGACUUGGGACCGGGAGACGUAUGAGGUAUUUUUGGGGUAGUGGUAAAAUGCUAUAAUCCUGAAAGGACCACCGAUGGCGAAGGCAUCAUACGAGAACGGAUCCGACGGUGAGGAACGAAAGCUGGGGGAGCAAACCGGAUUAGAUACCCGAGUAGUCCCAGCUGUAAACUCUGUGAGCAAGGUGUUGCAUAUUCUUCGAGAAUAUGCAGUGUCGAAGCGAAGGCGUUAAGCUCACCGCCUGGGAAGUAUGGUCGCAAGGCUGAAACUUUAAGGAAUUGGCGGGGGAGCACCACAAGGGGUGCGGCGUGCGGUUUAAUCUAACUCAACGCAGAGAAUCUCACCAGCAGCGAUGGCAGGAUGAAAGUCAGUCUAAAGGGCUUACUAGACGAGCCGAGAGGUAGUGCAUGGCC
RNAcentral lists this ribosomal RNA (677 nucleotides) under uncultured archaeon. Its description in RNAcentral is "bacterial SSU rRNA". It matches the Rfam family "Archaeal small subunit ribosomal RNA", at positions 321 to 999 of the family's 1478-position model. The record is from RNAcentral.